This 253-nucleotide ribosomal RNA is filed under the name uncultured bacterium. RNAcentral describes it as "partial 16S ribosomal RNA". It matches the Rfam family "Bacterial small subunit ribosomal RNA", at positions 524 to 776 of the family's 1533-position model. The record is from RNAcentral.
UACGGGGGGGGCAAGCGUUGUUCGGAAUUACUGGGCGUAAAGGGCUCGUAGGCGGCCAACUAAGUCGGACGUGAAAUCCCCAGGCUCAACCUGGGAACUGCGUCCGAUACUGGAUGGCUUGAAUUCGGGAGAGGGAUGCAGAAUUCCAGGUGUAGCGGUGAAAUGCGUAGAUAUCUGGAGGAACACCGGUGGCGAAGGCGGCAUCCUGGACCGAUAUUGACGCUGAUGCGCGAAAGCCAGGGGAGCAAACGGG